UCGGAUUGAAGCCUUGGUGACUGAGCGGCGGACGGGUGAGUAACGCGUGGGUAACCUGCCUCAUACAGGGGGAUAACAGUUGGAAACGGCUGCUAAUACCGCAUAAGCGCACAGUACCGCAUGGUACGGUGUGAAAAACUCCGGUGGUAUGAGAUGGACCCGCGUCUGAUUAGGUAGUUGGUGGGGUAACGGCCUACCAAGCCGACGAUCAGUAGCCGACCUGAGAGGGUGACCGGCCACAUUGGGACUGAGACACGGCCCAAACUCCUACGGGAGGCAGCAGUGGGGAAUAUUGCACAAUGGGGGAAACCCUGAUGCAGCGACGCCGCGUGAGCGAUGAAGUAUUUCGGUAUGUAAAGCUCUAUCAGCAGGGAAGAAAAUGACGGUGCCUGACUAAGAAGCCCCGGCUAACUACGUGCCAGCAGCCGCGGUAAUACGUAGGGGGCAAGCGUUAUCCGGAUUUACUGGGUGUAAAGGGAGCGUAGACGGCAUGGCAAGCCAGAUGUGAAAGCCCGGGGCUCAACCCCGGGACUGCAUUUGGAACUGUCAGGCUAGAGUGUCGGAGAGGAAAGCGGAAUUCCUAGUGUAGCGGUGAAAUGCGUAGAUAUUAGGAGGAACACCAGUGGCGAAGGCGGCUUUCUGGACGAUGAC
This 651-nucleotide ribosomal RNA is filed under the name uncultured Lachnospiraceae bacterium. Its description in RNAcentral is "bacterial SSU rRNA". It matches the Rfam family "Bacterial small subunit ribosomal RNA", at positions 73 to 740 of the family's 1533-position model. The record is from RNAcentral. Lineage: Bacteria; Bacillati; Bacillota; Clostridia; Lachnospirales; Lachnospiraceae.